RNAcentral lists this ribosomal RNA (341 nucleotides) under uncultured Rubrobacteraceae bacterium. RNAcentral's name for it is "bacterial SSU rRNA". It matches the Rfam family "Bacterial small subunit ribosomal RNA", at positions 550 to 886 of the family's 1533-position model. The record is from RNAcentral. Lineage: Bacteria; Bacillati; Actinomycetota; Rubrobacteria; Rubrobacterales; Rubrobacteraceae.
AUUAUUGGGCGUAAAGAGCGUGUAGGCGGUUCGGUGAGUCUGCCGUGAAAACCUGGGGCUCAACCCCGGGCGUGCGGUGGAUACUGCCGGAGCUAGAGGGUGGUAGAGGCGAGUGGAAUUCCCGGUGUAGCGGUGAAAUGCGCAGAUAUCGGGAGGAACACCAGUAGCGAAGGCGGCUCGCUGGGCCAUUCCUGACGCUGAGACGCGAAAGCGUGGGGAGCGAACAGGAUUAGAUACCCUGGUAGUCCACGCCGUAAACGAUGAACACUAGGUGUUGGGGGAGUCGAAUCCCUCGGGUGCCGCCAGCCAACGCGUUAAGUGUUCCGCCUGGGGAGUACGGC